Molecule: long non-coding RNA, 246 nt
Filed under: Homo sapiens (human)
Lineage: Eukaryota; Metazoa; Chordata; Mammalia; Primates; Hominidae
Description: non-protein coding lnc-GGTLC2-15:1
Source: RNAcentral
ACACUCAGAUAAACAAGACGGAUAACACUGAAAUGAAAUACAGACAAUGCAGUGGAUUUUCAACAAUAACUACAAAAAGGACUGAACAAAGAGACAAACAAUGAAUGUGGGCUUGCCUAGGAAAUACAGUAGAAAUGUCAAAAAAAGUUAAAUGAAUGAGAGGGGUACUACAAUCCUCCACCCCAGGAAACCACAGCAAGGUGCCGUGGAUCCUCUCUGAAGCCUGACGUUCAGGUUGUUCAUAUU